This 820-nucleotide ribosomal RNA is filed under the name uncultured bacterium. Its description in RNAcentral is "bacterial SSU rRNA". It matches the Rfam family "Bacterial small subunit ribosomal RNA", at positions 62 to 869 of the family's 1533-position model. The record is from RNAcentral.
UCGACGGAGAUGUUGCAGCAGAAGCGAAUAGCUUGCUAUGAGUGGAAACAGUGGCAUCUUAGUGGCGGACGGGUGAGUAACGCGUGGGCAACCUGCCCUGCACUGGGGGAUAACACUUAGAAAUAGGUGCUAAUACCGCAUAAUAAAAUAUAUUGCAUGAUAUAUUUUUGAAAGCUGCGGCGGUGCAGGAUGGGCCCGCGUCUGAAUAGCCAGUUGGCGGGGUAACGGCCCACCAAAGCGACGAUCAGUAGCCGGCCUGAGAGGGUGGACGGCCACAUUGGGACUGAGACACGGCCCAAACUCCUACGGGAGGCAGCAGUGGGGGAUAUUGGACAAUGGGGGGAACCCUGAUCCAGCGACGCCGCGUGAGUGAAGAAGUAUUUCGGUAUGUAAAGCUCUAUCAGCAGGGAAGAAAAGAAUGACGGUACCUGAAUAAGAAGCCCCGGCUAACUACGUGCCAGCAGCCGCGGUAAUACGUAGGGGGCAAGCGUUAUCCGGAUUUACUGGGUGUAAAGGGAGCGCAGACGGCAAUGCAAGCCUGGAGUGAAAGGCGGGGGCCCAACCCCCGGACUGCUCUGGGAACUGUAUAGCUAGAGUGCAGGAGAGGCAAGUGGAAUUCCUAGUGUAGCGGUGAAAUGCGUAGAUAUUAGGAGGAACACCAGUGGCGAAGGCGGCUUGCUGGACUGUAACUGACGUUGAGGCUCGAAAGCGUGGGGAGCAAACAGGAUUAGAUACCCUGGUAGUCCACGCCGUAAACGAUGAUUACUAGGUGUCGGAGGGCAUGGGCCCGUCGGUGCCGGAGCAAACGCAUUAAGUAAUC